GGCCUAACACAUGCAAGUCGAACGCCCCGCAAGGGGAGUGGCAGACGGGUGAGUAACACGUGGGAACCUUCCCUAUGGUUCGGAAUAGCCCAGGGAAACUUGGGGUAAUACCGGAUAAGCCCUUCGGGGGAAAGAUUUAUCGCCAUUGGAUGGGCCCGCGUCGGAUUAGCUAGUUGGUGAGGUAACGGCUCACCAAGGCGACGAUCCGUAGCUGGUCUGAGAGGAUGAUCAGCCACACUGGGACUGAGACACGGCCCAGACUCCUACGGGAGGCAGCAGUGGGGAAUAUUGGACAAUGGGCGCAAGCCUGAUCCAGCCAUGCCGCGUGAGUGGCGAAGGCCUUAGGGUUGUAAAGCUC
RNAcentral lists this ribosomal RNA (358 nucleotides) under uncultured organism. RNAcentral describes it as "bacterial SSU rRNA". It matches the Rfam family "Bacterial small subunit ribosomal RNA", at positions 45 to 433 of the family's 1533-position model. The record is from RNAcentral.